AAACUUAAAGGAAUUGACGGGGCCCGCACAAGCGGUGGAGCAUGUGGUUAAUUCGACGCAACGCGAAGAACCUUACCAGGGCUUGACAUCCCCUGACCGCGUAUGAAAGUACGUUUUCACCCUCGGGUGACAGGGAGACAGGUGGUGCAUGGUUGUCGUCAGCUCGUGUCGUGAGAUGUUGGGUUAAGUCCCGCAACGAGCGCAACCCCUACGUUUAGUUGCUAACGCGUGAAGGCGAGCACUCUAGACGAACUGCCGUUGACAAAACGGAGGAAGGUGGGGAUGACGUCAAAUCAUCAUGCCCCUUAUGUUCUGGGCUACACACGUGCUACAAUGGCCGGUACAGACGGACGCAAAGCCGCGAGGUGGAGCAAAUCCGAAAAAGCCGGUCUCAGUUCGGAUUGCAGGCUGCAAUUCGCCUGCAUGAAGUCGGAAUCGCUAGUAAUCGCAGGUCAGCAUACUGCGGUGAAUACGUUCCCGGGCCUU
Molecule: ribosomal RNA, 486 nt
Filed under: uncultured Pelotomaculum sp.
Lineage: Bacteria; Bacillati; Bacillota; Clostridia; Eubacteriales; Desulfotomaculaceae
Description: bacterial SSU rRNA
Rfam family: Bacterial small subunit ribosomal RNA
Source: RNAcentral